This 420-nucleotide ribosomal RNA is filed under the name Fusobacteriota bacterium. RNAcentral describes it as "Fusobacteria bacterium partial 16S ribosomal RNA". It matches the Rfam family "Bacterial small subunit ribosomal RNA", at positions 355 to 775 of the family's 1533-position model. The record is from RNAcentral. Lineage: Bacteria; Fusobacteriati; Fusobacteriota.
UGGGGAAUUUUGCACAAUGGGGGGAACCUUGAUGCAGCGACGCCGCGUGAGGGAUGGAGGCCUUCGGGUUGUGAACCUCUUUCGCUCGUGUGCAAGCCGCUAUUUGGGUAGUGGUGAGUGUAGCGGGUAAAGAAGCGCCGGCUAACUACGUGCCAGCAGCCGCGGUAAUACGUAGGGCGCGAGCGUUGUCCGGAUUUAUUGGGCGUAAAGGGCUUGUAGGCGGUUUGUCGCGCCUGUCGUGUAAUCCUCUGGCUUAACUGGGGGUGUGCGGUGGGUACGGGCAGGCUUGAGUGCGGUAGGGGAGAUUGGAAUUCCUGGUGUAGCGGUGGAAUGCGCAGAUAUCAGGAGGAACACCGGUGGCGAAGGCGGGUCUCUGGGCCGUUACUGACGCUGAGGAGCGAAAGCGUGGGGAGCGAACAG